AACGCGAAGAACCUUACCAGGGCUUGACAUGCAAUUGCACCACCCGUCAUGGGGUGUCCCGCAAGGGCGGUUGCACAGGUGCUGCAUGGCUGUCGUCAGCUCGUGUCGUGAGAUGUUGGGUUCAGUCCCGCAACGAGCGCAACCCCUGUUGCUAGUUGAACAAUCUAGCAGGACUGCCGCGAUCAACGCGGAGGAAGGAGGGGAUGACGUCAAGUCAGCACGGCCCUUACGUCCUGGGCUACACACACGCUACAAUGGUCGGUACAACGGGCAGCCAACCCGCGAGGGGGAGCCAAUCCUAUCAAAACCGGCCUCAGUUCAGAUUGCAGGCUGCAACUCGCCUGCAUGAAGGAGGAGUUGCUAGUAACCGUGGGUCAGCACACCACGGUGAAUACGUUCCCGGGCCUUGUACACACCGAGACGUA
Molecule: ribosomal RNA, 425 nt
Filed under: uncultured bacterium
Lineage: Bacteria
Description: bacterial SSU rRNA
Rfam family: Bacterial small subunit ribosomal RNA
Source: RNAcentral